UUUUUACGGAGAGUUUGAUUCUGGCUCAGAACGAACGCUGGCGGCGUGUUUAAGACAUGCAAGUCGCACGGAAUAAGUUGAGUAGUAAUACCUAACUUGUUUAGUGGCGCACGGGUGAGUAACACGUGAAUUACAUGCCCUUCAGUGGGGGAUA
RNAcentral lists this ribosomal RNA (154 nucleotides) under Akkermansiaceae bacterium. RNAcentral describes it as "partial 16S ribosomal RNA". It matches the Rfam family "Bacterial small subunit ribosomal RNA", at positions 1 to 145 of the family's 1533-position model. Lineage: Bacteria; Pseudomonadati; Verrucomicrobiota; Verrucomicrobiia; Verrucomicrobiales; Akkermansiaceae. The record is from RNAcentral.